GCCCUCUCCGCCUUCUCUCUCGGCACUGCAUGAUCCUUGAGGAUGGUGAUUCUAACUUGUCCUGUUAACAGUAUGCCUCUCCAUCUACGAGAAGGAUUUUUCAGAGACCUACCCAUGUUUCAAGGCAGAGGGAACGGAGCCAGUGCAAAGAAAAAGAGAAGGGAGCUAGGGAACCGGCCUUGAAGAAGAGAGGGAUGGUACUUGAGAGGGCACCCUGACUCUGAAUGCUUCAUUCUGGGAAGGUUCUUAGAGAGAAGAGAAGAGAUGAACAGAGCAGAGCAGAGAAGAGAAAGGAGGAGAAGAGCUGAACAGAGCAGAGCAGAGCAGAGCAGAGAAGAGCAGAGCAUACUACUUAACUGUGACCCUGAAAGUAAAUCAGCAUGCUGAGGAUGUUCAGUCUGCUUGACAUUUUGAGAAAUAAUGUUUUAAGAGAAUCCUUCGCAAUUUUGUGAAAGAGGACAGAAGAGGCAAGUUGUGAGAAUGUAAAAAUCUGUACAGAUUGCCAAUGUCCUAACAUCUUUGUGAUAAAGAGACAUUAUAUUCAUGAGGAAGUUUUAAACAUCCCUUCAUAUGACGCAAAGGCUGCCUUUCUAUGAACACGAAGAUCAUGUAAUUGUAGUACAAUUCCAGCGCUUUUUUUCCUCUGGGAAUUCUGCUCCCUCAAUUAACCGGACUUCACAACUGUUGUCUCCUGUAAUGACCUUGCCAAGAGGGAAAGAUCUGGAACUUUAUACUUUCAUAUGAUAAUGUUGAAGAAUGAAAAUAUUUUGACCAACGAACAUGAACGGAUCAGAGCAGCAUCUGACUACCCUUUACACGGGAAGGGCCUGCUGACGUGCCACAACUCCUGAGACAGCUCCAUCACUGGAAAUGCAGGAAGAAGGCAGAGCCUGUCCUGAACUCGGCAACCGGGAGGGCUGAGGCAGCCCAGAGAGACACUAAUACCAGCUCAAGACAAGGUUGACAUAAGGGAAGCCAUAUUGUAGAAAAGAAACCAUAUUGUAACUUUAAACGACCUAUGAUGAACUGUCCCAGACACGCUCUGUAGAUUUUGUGGCCCCUCCCUGCUGCUUUAAGAUCAUAACUUUGUUCUUUUGCAUUCCUUAGGAAUGUGAUCACCCCUGGGAGAGAGUCUACCCUGAUAGCCAUCACCCAGGACAACUGAAAGGAACCUGAAGAAUUCCGUCAGGAUACCAGAUUUUUAAAAGGCUUUCUUCCCAAGGGUCUUUACUUCAGCAAUACAUAACUACUUUCCUCACUCCUGCCAAUAGACAGUUUUCAUGAAGUUAUUGUCAAUGAUGGUUGAAGACGGAAAAUCUCCAAAGAAACGUCCAUGGCUUUUAAGAUAGGAGGAAUUUUAGGGGCUGGCCCUCUGGCUGAGUAAUUAAGUUCCUGCGCUCCACUUUAGCGGCCCAGGGUUUCACCUGUUUGGAUCCUGGGUGCA
Long non-coding RNA from Equus quagga, 1444 nucleotides. RefSeq lists it as uncharacterized. NCBI's taxonomy places the organism in Eukaryota, Metazoa, Chordata, Mammalia, Perissodactyla, Equidae. The transcript is spliced from 6 exons. The record is from RefSeq and is a predicted model, not a curated record.